CGGUAAGGCCCUUUCGGGGGUACACGAGUGGCGAACGGGUGAGUAACACGUGGGUGACCUGCCCUGUACUUCGGGAUAAGCCUGGGAAACUGGGUCUAAUACCGGAUAUGACCUUCUCCUGCAUGGGGGUUGGUGGAAAGUUUUUGCGGUACAGGAUGGGCCCGCGGCCUAUCAGCUUGUUGGUGGGGUAAUGGCCUACCAAGGCGACGACGGGUAGCCGGCCUGAGAGGGCGACCGGCCACACUGGGACUGAGACACGGCCCAGACUCCUACGGGAGGCAGCAGUGGGGAAUAUUGCACAAUGGGCGAAAGCCUGAUGCAGCGACGCCGCGUGAGGGAUGACGGCCUUCGGGUUGUAAACCUCUUUCAGUAGGGACGAAGCGCAAGUGACGGUACCUACAGAAGAAGCACCGGCCAACUACGUGCCAGCAGCCGCGGUAAUACGUAGGGUGCGAGCGUUGUCCGGAUUUACUGGGCGUAAAGAGCUCGUAGGCGGUUUGUCACGUCGUCUGUGAAAACCCGAGGCUUAACCUCGGGCCUGCAGGCGAUACGGGCAGACUUGAGUACUGUAGGGGAGACUGGAAUUCCUGGUGUAGCGGUGGAAUGCGCAGAUAUCAGGAGGAACACCGGUGGCGAAGGCGGGUCUCUGGGCAGUAACUGACGCUGAGGAGCGAAAGCGUGGGUAGCGAACAGGAUUAGAUACCCUGGUAGUCCACGCCGUAAACGGUGGGUACUAGGUGUGGGUUUCCUUCCACGGGAUCCGUGCCGUAGCUAACGCAUUAAGUACCCCGCCUGGGGAGUACG
This 804-nucleotide ribosomal RNA is filed under the name Tsukamurella sp. Its description in RNAcentral is "bacterial SSU rRNA". It matches the Rfam family "Bacterial small subunit ribosomal RNA", at positions 67 to 884 of the family's 1533-position model. Lineage: Bacteria; Bacillati; Actinomycetota; Actinomycetes; Mycobacteriales; Tsukamurellaceae. The record is from RNAcentral.